CGUACAAGUCCAGGAUGAUAACGCGACCAGGCCCUCAUCUCUCUCUCUCUCUCGUUAUCUCACAUGGCUCUCACGCACGAUUCCCCUCUCUGCUCCCUGCUCGCCUCCACGUCGCCGUCUUGAUUCCGGCCACAGCCGGCCACAUCCCCGCCGAUUCUUGCCGGCGUGGCUCCGCCUCGAUCUCCUUCACCGAAUCCCCGCCGCCUCGACGUUCGCCCGCACUCGUGCGUGCUUCUUCGGCUAACCCUAGCCUCUGGCUUGGCUCGGCCGCCGGCGUUGUUCCGGCGCCGCCGCGCCUCCUGCUGCUCCCUUUUUGGCGGCCUCGACUUGCACCUCGAGCCCCAGCUCGACCUUCCGUUUCGGCCUCCCCUAUUUUGUGGUGGUCUGAUGGUGUGGUGUAGUGCUGAUGCUGCCCCUGGGACUGCCCGUGGUCUCCCGCGCUAUGAUGCGGUGGAAGGCUUGGCUAGCCCCUCCUACGUCUUCCUCGACGUCUCCCUCGACUAUGUCCACGGUCACGCAUCAGGGUUGUGUGUUUGCAGGUGAUGAACUGCUAUUGUCUAGUAGUGCUGGUGGUGUUGUGCACAUUCUUGGCCAGCACAUGUGUGAGAACACGAUGCUAUGGUAAGGUGUGAUCAGGCCCUGGGUGUGAUCUGGUGCUAGAUAGAUGCGUCCUGGUUAAACUGUAAUUGAUGUUCUGGAGUAGGUCAAGGCUCUAAUUGAUACAGAUGAGUAUAUCAUGUAUCACUAGGACGUGCACACACAAUGUUUUCAUCAAGCAAUUGUGUAUGUGGGGGUGCUGGAGUGUGCAUUAGCUCGACUAGGCAUAUGGUAACAGAUAAGCAACCAUACGAAUAAUUGUUGUCGCUAUGUAAAUAAAUAAAUGGCUGUAAAGCUCAGGUUUUAAUCAUCUUAUACAAGUGUAACUGUGUAGAUAUAAUACUUGAGUUGAUGUCGACUUUCUAGUACAUAUGCAUGAUAUAAAUAGUUAAUUUGUAUUUUCUUGGCGAUUUACUUCCAGAUUCACUUAUUUGGUAUUUUUGAUGCUCACAUGAUCAUCCAAACUUGUGUACAAUAUUCUUGGUCAAGUAUAUACUUUGCUAGAUGAUUUCUAGUGUUCUUGAUGUGUUGAAGUGAUCAGAAAGAUGUAUUUCUGGACAUAAUUUAUUUACUGGCUUUCUCACAGGGAUCUUGCUAUUCUCUCUGUAUGUGGUUAGGGUAUGAGCUCCUGGUUUUACCAGGGAUCACUAGCUGAGGCUAGGUGAUCUAGCUCCCCUUUCUACUGACACCUCACUUUUUCUUUCUUUCUCUACAUAGAACUGAUAAGAACAGAACUAUGCUUGAUUUCUUGGCCCUGCCCAUGAUGCAUAGGCUGAGGCAUGAUCUAUGAUAUGAACAGAUACUACUGGGUUGUUGCUUCUCUAAACCUCGGUGAUGAACAUGCAUAGCACCUCUAUGCAAGACUGAGAGGAAAAUCCAUCUCUCCAUCCUCCUAGAUGAAAAUUUAGUUGAAGGGUGGUUUGAUGGAGUGUUGUGGAUUCUUCUCUUUAUUUCCCCUGAUCCUAGUUGUGCAAGCUAGUAUGCUGAGAUGCUUAUAUUAAAUCAAUGGAUCAACCUGUUGUAGCAAAGUUGGAUAGCGGGUGAUGUUGAUCUUGAUCUACUGCUUGUUUGACUGCACCUCCUCCUAGCUCCGGCUUGAUCCUGUUCUAGGAUACCACCAUACUGGUACUUGGUUGGAUGAACUGGGAUAUCUUCUAAGAUGGUUUGAUGGCCUGGAUGAAGAAUAGCUAUUGUUUCUUGUGUUCUUGAUCUGGUCGAUGAACCCUGUGCUAAGGAGUUGUGUGCUCCAAGGGAUGCCUCUUUUAUUGAUGACCUGAGCUGUGUUUGGCCUUGUACUACUGCCUAUGUGCUCUGUGCGUGAGACAACACAUAGCAUGCAUGUGUGACAGUGCUACUUGCUUGUGUGGCGCAAGUCUCUGCCUGGUACAUCCCCUCUUGUGGAUGAGCAUGGACUGAGAAAGAUCUUCUUAUUUGCUUUCCAUUUCUUUCUAACCUGGCCACCUGGCUUUCCUUUUCCUUUUGUUUUCUUCGUUUGUUUUGCAGGUGACCAAAGAAACAAAGAAUAGAAGAUAUUUAAAUAGGUUUAGCUUAGCUUUUCUUUUCUGUUUUAGAUUCUUGUAAUAUUUGUAAUUUGUAAUAUUAUGGAUAUUGUAAUGACUUUGUAAAUGUGUAUAUAAUUAAUAAAAUGUAAUUUCCUUA
This is a non-coding RNA of Lolium perenne, 2256 nucleotides long. The record is from RefSeq and is a predicted model, not a curated record. NCBI's taxonomy places the organism in Eukaryota, Viridiplantae, Streptophyta, Magnoliopsida, Poales, Poaceae.